Molecule: long non-coding RNA, 962 nt
Filed under: Chinchilla lanigera (long-tailed chinchilla)
Lineage: Eukaryota; Metazoa; Chordata; Mammalia; Rodentia; Chinchillidae
Description: lncRNA (ENSCLAG00000027016.1)
Source: RNAcentral
GUGACGAAGCCAGCAUGAUGGCAAUGACAUGGGAGGUAGCCCAGGGCUGGGUUAUAUGCUGGGGACCAAUGUGUCCCAUGCUGUCAAGAGCUCAGCAGAGAGUUCUGUUUAAUGGAGUGUGGGAGAUGAGGUAGAAGGAACAGUUGUAGGACUGGAGGACAAGCUGAGUAGAAUCAGAAACAGAAAAAAGAACAGGGUUGGGGUAGAAAUGAUAAUAAUAAUUUCUCCUUUAGGCAUAAAGAGUUGGAGCUGUUUAUGGGACACACAGACUUCGAUGCCUUGCAAACAGCUGGACAGGUGGGACAUCAGGAGGGUUCCUCCAUGUGAAGCAGAGAAAAUCAAAGUUCUCCUCUCUUAUAACUGUCCAUUUCAGGUCUCCACCGCCAAGCUUUGCAGCUGUAUCACCAGCAUUGUGUCCCUGGAUUGAAAGUCCCACUUCCUGAAGCCAGAGAAAAUGUUUGAGUGAACUGGGAGAUGCAAAACCAGUCUUUUAAAUUCUGUAAGCAAUUUUAUAGUUCAUUUUCAGAGGAGAGAAGGGAGGGAGGAGAAUGAAGAAAAGAAUAUUUGAAAAAUGGGGGGGGGGUAUUAUAUUGCUGUACUUUAUUUAACUGAAGUAUAGACCAGAUAAGAAUGUGAACUCUUCAGCUCUCAUUUGCUCACCCAGAAUGUCCUAAGUCUGAUACUAUUGAAACCAAUUUAUUUUUCCAUAUUCAGCCAGUUUCUUUGUUAUUUUUAGCUUGAAACUUCUAUCUAGAACAUUCUAUGAAAAACUGGACCAAUUUCCUUUCCCUCCUUCCCUCUAUCCCUCCCCCUCUCUCUGUCCCACCCCACUUCCUCUGUCCCUUCCUUCUUCCCUUCCUUUUUUAUUUUUAUUUUCUUCUUCUUCUUCUUCUUCUUCUUCUUCUUCUUCUUCUUCUUCUUCUUCUUCUUCUUCUUCUUCUUCUUCUUCUUCUUCUUCUUCU